UACGUAGGGUGCGAGCGUUGUCCGGAAUUAUUGGGCGUAAAGAGCUCGUAGGCGGUUUGUUGCGUCUAUCGUGAAAACCUGCAGCUUAACUGUGGGCUUGCGGUGGAUACGGGCAGACUUGAGUUCGGUAGGGGAGACUGGAAUUCCUGGUGUAGCGGUGAAAUGCGCAGAUAUCAGGAGGAACACCGGUGGCGAAGGCGGGUCUCUGGGCCGAUACUGACGCUGAGGAGCGAGAGCGUGGGGAGCGAACAGG
RNAcentral lists this ribosomal RNA (253 nucleotides) under uncultured bacterium. Its description in RNAcentral is "partial 16S ribosomal RNA". It matches the Rfam family "Bacterial small subunit ribosomal RNA", at positions 524 to 776 of the family's 1533-position model. The record is from RNAcentral.